AAUUCAGCUCCCAUCUCUGCCAAUAUAUGAAUUCUAAAAAACCAGGUGUAUUCAUUUAGUGUCUGGCUUAUGAAAAAACACAGGGUUUUUUGGUUUUUUUUCCAAUGAAGCUUCUCUACAGUUUGGGCUGUUGUAAGUCAUUGGCCUGGAGCACAUCUCUAAAGAGAAAAUUAAUUACAGUUGUCUGCUGGGUGUUGAAUGUUUGUCACUGGGACUAAAUCCAGUACACCCAUGGAUCUCCAGGCCACUGGACACAGGAACAAUGAAGGCUGCAUUUGAAAGUACUACAUUUUCAAGAGGGAAGGGAAAGAUACGUGUUCAAUGUCAGUUCUCUGCUGAAGCACAGUGUGUUGCUCUGUGAAGAACCCACAGAGCAGAGGUAUGGCAUUUCCAAAAUUAGCGCUCCCCUUCACGCAGAAUUAGUCUUCUGGGAAUUAAUUUCUUCCCUCACUCCCUGAAAUGUGCAACAAAUAU
Molecule: long non-coding RNA, 474 nt
Organism: Hirundo rustica (Barn swallow)
Lineage: Eukaryota; Metazoa; Chordata; Aves; Passeriformes; Hirundinidae
Exons: 3
Source: RefSeq, a predicted model, not a curated record